CCCUAGUAACGGGCGAGUGAAGAGGGAAGAGCCCAAGAUUGAAAGCUGGCGUCUUCGGCGUCCGCAUUGUAAUCUCAAGAAGUGUUUUCCGCUUCGGACCAUGCCUAAGUCCCUUGGAAAAGGGCAUCAUAGAGGGUGAUAAUCCCGUACAUGGCAUGGAGCGCCCGAAGCUUUGUGAUACGCUUUCUAAGAGUCGAGUUGUUUGGGAAUGCAGCUCAAAAUGGGUGGUAAAUGCCAUCUAAGGCUAAAUAUUGGGGAGAGACCGAUAGCGAACAAGUACAGUGAUGGAAAGAUGAAAAGAACUUUGAAAAGAGAGUUAAACAGUACGUGAAAUUGCCAAAAGGGAAGGGUAGGAGGUCAGAGAUGCGGCCUGGGAUUCAGCCUUGCUUUUGCUUGGUGUUUUUCCCAGAUUGCAGGCCAACGUCGGUUUUGGGCACUGGAGAAGGGUAGGAGGAACGUGGCACCUCUCGGGGUGUGUUAUAGCCUCCUACUGGAUACAGCGACCGAGACCGAGGACAGCAGCGUACUCGCAAGAGCGGGCCUUCGGGCACCUUUACGCUUAGGGCGUUGGCAUAAUGGCCCUCUACCACCCGUCUUG
Molecule: ribosomal RNA, 598 nt
Filed under: Dirkmeia churashimaensis
Lineage: Eukaryota; Fungi; Basidiomycota; Ustilaginomycetes; Ustilaginales; Ustilaginaceae
Description: partial large subunit ribosomal RNA
Rfam family: Eukaryotic large subunit ribosomal RNA
Source: RNAcentral